UGUCCAGACUCCUACGGGAAGCAGCAGUGGGGGAUAUUGCACAAUGGGGGGAACCCUGAUGCAGCGACGCCGCGUGGGUGAAGGAGUAUUUCGGUAUGUAAAGCCCUAUCGGCAGGGAAGGAGCAAGACGGUACCUGACUAAGAAGCCCCGGCUAACUACGUGCCAGCAGCCGCGGGAAUACGUAGGGGGCGAGCGUUAUCCGGAUUCACUGGGUGUAAAGGGAGCGUAGACGGCCAUGCAAGCCAGGGGGGAAAGCCCGGGGCCCAACCCCGGGACUGCCCUUGGAACUGUGCGGCUAGAGUGCGGGAGGGGCAGGCGGAAUUCCUGGUGUAGCGGUGAAAUGCGUAGAUAUCAGGAGGAACACCGGCGGCGAAGGCGGCCUGCUGGACCGCGACUGACGUUGAGGCUCGAAAGCGUGGGGAGCGAACAGGAUUAGAUACCCCCGUAA
This 449-nucleotide ribosomal RNA is filed under the name uncultured bacterium. RNAcentral's name for it is "bacterial SSU rRNA". It matches the Rfam family "Bacterial small subunit ribosomal RNA", at positions 328 to 793 of the family's 1533-position model. The record is from RNAcentral.